RNAcentral lists this ribosomal RNA (1944 nucleotides) under human gut metagenome. Its description in RNAcentral is "bacterial LSU rRNA". It matches the Rfam family "Bacterial large subunit ribosomal RNA", at positions 808 to 2841 of the family's 2925-position model. The record is from RNAcentral.
ACUGUGGGUAGCGGAGAAAUUCCAAUCGAACCCGGAGAUAGCUGGUUCUCUCCGAAAUAGCUUUAGGGCUAGCCUUGAAAUAGAUUACCGGAGGUAAAGCACUGAAUUGGCUAGGGGCCGAGAGGUUACUGAACCUUAUCAAACUAAGAAUGCCGGAUAAUCGUUUUUCAGGAGUCAGACAGUGGGAGAUAAGUUUCAUUGUCAAAAGGGAAACAGCCCAGACCCACAGCUAAGGUCCCCAAGUAUAGUUAAGUGGAAAAGGAUGUGGAAUUGCACAGACAACCAGGAUGUUGGCUUAGAAGCAGCCACUCAUUAAAAGAGUGCGUAAUAGCUCACUGGUCGAGUGACUCUGCGCCGAAAAUUUAACGGGGCUAAACUAUACACCGAAGCUUGGGAUACAUCUAAUGUAUGGUAGGAGAGCGUUCUGUAUGGGGAGAAGUCGUAGCGAAAGCGGCGGUGGACUAUACAGAAGUGAGAAUGCCGGAAUAAGUAGCGAGAAUUAAGUGAGAAUCUUAAUGGCCGAAAGUCUAAGGUUUUUGGAGGAAGGUUCGUCCGCUCCAAGUAAGUCGGGAGCUAAGGUCAGGCCGAAAGGCGUAGCCGAUGCACAUACGGUUGAUAUUCCGUAACCAUCUGUAAUUUAAGCAAAGGGACACUUCAAAAGGGUGUGACCCGGGCGUUGGUUGACCCGGGCGUAAGGGACCGAAAUUAGAGUAGGGAAGCACACUUGGCUGAAGGCGAGAAAAGCUUUGCGUAUAGAAACAGAUGCCCGUACCGCAAACCGACACAGGUGGACAGGAAGAGAAUUCUAAGGCCAGCGGGAGAAGGGUAGUUAAGGAACUCGGCAAAUUGACUCCGUAACUUCGGAAUAAGGAGUGCUCGAAAGAGCCGCAGAGAAUAGGCCCAGGCGACUGUUUAGCAAAAACACAGGUCUCUGCCAAAUCGAAAGAUGAAGUAUAGGGGCUGACACCUGCCCGGUGCCGGAAGGUUAAGAGGAGGAGUGAGAGCUCCGAAUUGAAGCCCCGGUAAACGGCGGCCGUAACUAUAACGGUCCUAAGGUAGCGAAAUUCCUUGUCGGGUAAGUUCCGACCCGCACGAAUGGUGUAACGAUCUGGACACUGUCUCAACUACCCACCCGGCGAAAUUGUAGUACCGGUGAAGAUGCCGGUUACCUGCGGCAAGACGGAAAGACCCCAUGGAGCUUUACUGUAGCCUGAUAUUGGGUUUCGGAAAUCUAUGUACAGGAUAGGCGGGAGACUGGGAAACAUGAGCGUCAGCUUGUGUGGAGUCGAUGUUGGGAUACCGCCCUUAGGUUUCUGGAAUUCUAACCUGCGGCCGUGAAUCCGGUCGGGGGACAUUGUCAGGUGGGCAGUUUGACUGGGGCGGUCGCCUCCGAAAAGGUAACGGAGGCGCUCAAAGGUUAGCUCAGCACGGACGGAAACCGUGCCUCUGAGUGUAAACGCAAAAGCUAGCCUAACUGCGAGGGUGACGGCCCGAGCAGUAACGAAAGUUGGAGUUAGUGAUCCGGCGGUAUGUGAAUGGAAAUGCCGUCGCUCAACGGAUAAAAGCUACCCUGGGGAUAACAGGCUGAUCUCCCCCAAGAGUCCACAUCGACGGGGAGGUUUGGCACCUCGAUGUCGGCUCAUCACAUCCUGGGGCUGUAUUCGGUCCCAAGGGUUCGGCUGUUCGCCGAUUAAAGUGGUACGCGAGCUGGGUUCAGAACGUCGCGAGACAGUUCGGUCCCUAUCUGUCGUGGGCGCAGGAUAUUUGAGGAGCUCUGUCCUUAGUACGAGAGGACCGGGAUGGACGUACCUCUGGUGCACCAGUUGUCAUGCCAAUGGCACGGCUGGGCAGCUAUGUACGGAACGGAUAAACGCUGAAAGCAUCUAAGCGUGAAGCCGACUCCAAGAUUAGAUAUCCCAUCGUAUAACGAGUAAGACCCCUUGA